ACGACAAUCAAGUCAAAUCCCUCUAAAAAACGACCUGCAAAGUUGGCGGUGGACAGUAUUAAUACUGAUGGUGUUUGGUUCGAGUGCAAUGUCA
This 94-nucleotide small RNA is filed under the name Drosophila pseudoobscura. Its description in RNAcentral is "partial mlncRNA69E2-1a". Lineage: Eukaryota; Metazoa; Arthropoda; Insecta; Diptera; Drosophilidae. The record is from RNAcentral.